RNAcentral lists this ribosomal RNA (464 nucleotides) under uncultured Klebsiella sp. Its description in RNAcentral is "bacterial SSU rRNA". It matches the Rfam family "Bacterial small subunit ribosomal RNA", at positions 339 to 795 of the family's 1533-position model. Lineage: Bacteria; Pseudomonadati; Pseudomonadota; Gammaproteobacteria; Enterobacterales; Enterobacteriaceae. The record is from RNAcentral.
CUACGGGAGGCAGCAGUGGGGAAUAUUGCACAAUGGGCGCAAGCCUGCUGCAGCCAUGCCGCGUGUGUGAAGAAGGCCUUCGGGUUGUAAAGCACUUUCAGCGGGGAGGAAGGCGUUAAGGUUAAUAACCUUGUCGAUUGACGUUACCCGCAGAAGAAGCACCGGCUAACUCCGUGCCAGCAGCCGCGGUAAUACGGAGGGUGCAAGCGUUAAUCGGAAUUACCGGGCGUAAAGCGCACGCAGGCGGUCUGUCAAGUCGGAUGUGAAAUCCCCGGGCUCAACCUGGGAACUGCAUUCGAAACUGGCAGGCUAGAGUCUUGUAGAGGGGGGUAGAAUUCCAGGUGUAGCGGUGAAAUGCGUAGAGAUCUGGAGGAAUACCGGUGGCGAAGGCGGCCCCCUGGACAAAGACUGACGCUCAGGUGCGAAAGCGUGGGGAGCAAACAGGAUUAGAUACCCCAGUAGUC